AUGCUAACAUAUAAGACCAACUGAAAUAAGGACCAACGGGAGGCACGUUUGACAUUGUCAUAUCUGACGUUCAUAGGUUGCAAGGUCGUCAUAUCCCACGUUACGACAAGUUGAGAAGAGGAAGAUGACGUGGAUUCGACAAACUCAUCCUAAAGCAAUGCUAAUACGAUCUUAUACAAGCUAGUUAGAUCUUUCUACAUGGUAAAAAUAAACUAAAAUGUCAGAACAAUGUAGUUCUAUAUGUUUUCAUGUUGUGCAAGUGCCUCUCCCGGUUUUUAUAUUAUUUGUAGAGUUCCGACUAUGAAUGUGCCGCCCCAUUACAACGAUGUGCUAUAAUGAUGCGUCUAACUUAGGUAUAUUGAUCCCAAAAACUUGCUUACUUAAAUGGUCACAAGUCUAA
RNAcentral lists this long non-coding RNA (400 nucleotides) under Helianthus annuus (common sunflower). RNAcentral describes it as "sRNA HanXRQr2_Chr05g0221381". Lineage: Eukaryota; Viridiplantae; Streptophyta; Magnoliopsida; Asterales; Asteraceae. The record is from RNAcentral.